This 327-nucleotide ribosomal RNA is filed under the name uncultured prokaryote. RNAcentral describes it as "bacterial SSU rRNA". It matches the Rfam family "Bacterial small subunit ribosomal RNA", at positions 26 to 352 of the family's 1533-position model. The record is from RNAcentral.
AGAUUGAACGCUAGCGGCAUGCCUAACACAUGCAAGUCGAGCGGGUUCCCCGCAAGGGGGGCCAGCGGCGGACGGGUGAGUAACACGUGGGCAACCUGCCCUUGGGACGGGAAUAACUCCGGGAAACCGGGGCUAAUGCCGGAUGCGGUCUGGCCGGGGAUCCUGGCCAGAGCAAAGGUGUCGGAAGGCACCGCCCGAGGAGGGGCCCGCGGGCCAUUAGCUAGUUGGCGGGUAACGGCCCACCAAGGCGACGAUGGCUAGCCGGCCUGAGAGGGUGGUCGGCCACACUGGGACUGAGACACGGCCCAGACUCCUACGGGAGGCAGC